This 253-nucleotide ribosomal RNA is filed under the name uncultured bacterium. RNAcentral's name for it is "partial 16S ribosomal RNA". It matches the Rfam family "Bacterial small subunit ribosomal RNA", at positions 524 to 776 of the family's 1533-position model. The record is from RNAcentral.
UACGAAGGGGGCUAGCGUUGCUCGGAAUUAUUGGGCGUAAAGCGCGUGUAGGCGGCUUUGCAAGUCGGGUGUGAAAGCCCUCAGCUCAACUGAGGAAGUGCGCCCGAAACUGCAGAGCUUGAGUACCGGAGAGGAUGGCGGAAUUCCCCAAGUAGAGGUGAAAUUCGUAGAUAUGGGGAGGAACACCGGUGGCGAAGGCGGCCAUCUGGACGGAUACUGACGCUGAGACGCGAAAGCGUGGGGAGCAAACAGG